AACUCCCCCAAAAUAGACACAGAGGUCAGACACUGUCAUCGUGGAGCUCAGAGGUCAGUGGGGAGGAUGGAGUAUGAAUAAAGUGUUACAAUGCAACGCGUCCAGCUUCUGCAGGAGGAAGUACAGAAGCUCCGAGAUUAGGCCACACAGGGUCGAAACCUGCUUCUGCCGCUGACUGGCUGUCUGUCCUUCAUCAGGUCAUUUAACCUCUAAAUGUUGCCAACACCAUUCUACGUGAAUGAAGGUGUCUGGAGUGCUUGCACCCAGAGAAGGUUGUGAGAUCGUUGUCAUCACCCAGACGUGGUAGCAGACACCUGCACUCUCACUCGGAUGAAUCUGGGGCUGGCCUGGGACCUCGACGCAGACAUCUGGUUGCAGCCGAAAGACAUCGUCCCUCACCUUAAAUUAAGGACGUUAACAUGAAAUUGACUGGUCUCGUAGUUUUGUUUGUAUUUAAUUUUUAAGUUUGUUUUGGUUUUAGAGUUGUGUAAGAGCUAAAAGAAUAAGGAAGUUUUACCAGGAUGUCUGUUUGUAAAUAUUUAAUUUAUGUUUGAAUAAAAGUAAUUCAAGUGACA
Molecule: long non-coding RNA, 575 nt
Organism: Equus caballus (horse)
Lineage: Eukaryota; Metazoa; Chordata; Mammalia; Perissodactyla; Equidae
Source: RefSeq, a predicted model, not a curated record